This 6807-nucleotide long non-coding RNA is filed under the name Sus scrofa (pig). RNAcentral's name for it is "lncRNA (ENSSSCG00030070622.1)". The record is from RNAcentral. Lineage: Eukaryota; Metazoa; Chordata; Mammalia; Artiodactyla; Suidae.
AGAGGGAGGAAGGGAGAGCAUGAUGAAGGAACAAGGUGCAAUGAUUCUCUGCAUGAAUGGAGAGACUGGCUUUAAUUUGGACAGAGUGUCUCUCUGCAGUGAGAGGAAGGAAGGCUGAAGGUGUGGGUGCAGAUAUGUGUUAACAGGAGGUGGGGUUGCAGCGUCCGAGAAAGUUAUCUUCUGCGCAGAAGGAUGAAGGAGGAAGAGUUGGAGUCUGAGGAUGGAGGCUCAGCCAGGAGACGGCCACACCUGAGGCAUAUGGAAGUCCCAGGCUAGGGGUUGAAUCGGAGCUGCAGCUGCCACCCUAUACCACAGCCGCAGCAACACCAGAUCAGGGCUGCAUCUGCAACCUAUGCAGCAACUUGUGGCACCAAGGGAUCCUUAACCCACUGAGCAAGGCCAGGGCUUGAACCUGUGUCCUCAUGGAUCCUAGUUGGGUUCAUUACUACUGAGCCAUGAUGGGAACUCCCAGGAACAAACUGUUAAAGAGUUUAGUCCUUUUCUAAGAGUCCGUGUUUUUAUUGUGAAAGCAGAGAACUGGAGACAUGUUGAGUCCCUAGGGGCCAUAGUGCCCUGUUCUAAGGUAACUCAUUCUUUGUAAGAGUUCCUUCUACUGCCUCAGUUGGUCACCUCUGCUUGAACAUCCUUGGUCAUAAGUUGGUAACUGUUUUGAGCAAUUGCUUUCAGAGUUAGGAAUAUUUUUAUUAUCAUCUUCCUAUUUCUGCCUACUGGAAUUCUCCAACAUUGGUCUCACUUUGCCCCCCCUUUUUUUCUAUUGCACUUAAAAUUUUAAACUUAGUAACAAAAUAUUGUUCAACAUACCACCUGCUCUUCUUUUAAUGUCUACAGAAUCUCUAAUAAUGUAGGAUCUGGUGAUGCUCCCAUUCCAUUCCUAAUAUGGAUAAUUUGUGUCUCCUCUCUUUAUUUCUUUUUUUUAAUUUUCAAAAGUUUAUUGAACUAUAGUUGAUUUAUAAUAUUGUGUUAAUUUCUGCUAUACCAUAGAGUGAUUCAGCUAUGCAUAUAUACAUAUCCUUUCUUUUUCAGAUUCUUUUCCCAUAUAAGUAAUCACAGAAUACUGGGUAGGGUUCCCUGUGCUAUAUAGCAGGUCCCCAUUGACCAUCCAUUCCAUAUACCAUAGUGUGCACAUGUCCUUUAGAACAACAUGGACCUCUUGUCCUCCUGCUCCACCACCAUGCAGAUGGCAACUCCUGAUAUAUUGGAAGACCUCUGUGCUUGGGUUUCCUUCAUUGUCCUAAACUCCCACCCAGCUGAAUACAAGGUUGAGCCCAGGUAUCUUUCCAUCCUAGUGCCCCCUGCUUUCUUAUUUUCCUCUCAUAAUUCUUAUAUAUAGCAUCUAGUACAGAAUAAGAUUAGAAAGAUGUCUGAACAUUUUUUGCACUAAAAAAGGUAUAAAAUCUAAUUUGCCAUCUAUUAAAUUUUUUUUUCAGCUGUCAGUUCAUAAUGAGUUUAUGGUCAACUAAAACCUCAACAUACCUUUAAAUAUGUUUCAGAAGAAUGAUCUAACUUUGAAAUAUAGUGCUCUUACUAUCUUUCUGCUCUAAGACUUUCAUAGUUUUCCUUGUUGCAUCAGAGGGUAAUUGAGAAGUAUUUUCUUUUCUAAAAGAAAUUAAUAUUUUUUCUCUCUGACGUUGGUUUAUAAUUUUACUGGUGUAUGGAUAAAGGCUGUACAAUAUUGAUUCUUAGGAGGUUAUUGAGUCUUUGUGGCCCUUUACAAGGUUAAUUUUUCUAAAUUUUCAAAUUUUGCUUGAAGCAUAUUCAUAGUCUCUGUGGAUGUAAAGUUUAUUCUUGGAACUUAUUAUUUUUUUAAUCUAUAAGAAAAAUACUUUGUUUUUGGCCUGAUUUAUUGGUAGUUAUUAGUUAGUAAUCUCCAAUUACAAUCAUUGAUUUAUCCAUUUUCACUUGUAGUUCUGUAUUAUAUAGUAUUUUCAGCAGUACUGUUGUAUAGAGAUAGAUUCAUGAUGAUUAUACAUAACCAAUAUAUAUAAUAUCUCUAUUUUUUCCUCACAAUAACUUUUAUUUUAAAUGAUUUUGUUUGAUCCUGGCUUUCUUUUGGUCCCCAUAUGUGUCCAGUGACUUUUUUGUGCCUGUCAGCUUUUAGACUUCAUGUGUUUUCCUGUUUAAUAUUUCUGAAUCUUAAAAAAAAAUCCGUUAGACAGAGUUCCCUUCAAGGCUCAGCGGUUAACGAACCUGGCUAGAAUCCAUGAGGAUGCAGGUUUGAUCCCUGGCCUUGCUCAGUGGGUUAAGGAUCCAGGGUUGCCUUUAGUUUUGGUGCAGGCUGAAAACUUGCCUCAGAUCCGGAAUUGCUGUGGCUGUAGCUCUAAAUUCGACCCCUAGCCUGGGAACCUCUCUAUGCCUCAGGGUACGGCCCUGAAAAGCACACACACACACACACACACACACACACACACAUCAUCAGAGAGUCUUUUGAUUAGUGAUAACAGUCAUUUACAUUUCUUUUAGUUACUAUUAUACUGGGAUUUACUUCUGACAAUGCAUUCUGUUUUUAUCAAUUUGUUCAAAGUGUUUUUUUUUUCCUAUUAAUGUAGUGAAUUUUUUUCUGCUGGUUUGGAAAAUAGCUAUCCUUUGUUAAAAUUUAUGCUCAAGUCUCUUUUGAGAAUCCAUUUAUUCAUAAAUUUGAUUUCAGUAAGUUAAACACUAGAAAGCCCUCCAUGUAUACGUCAUCUAGAAUUUUAACUCUUAAUUGUUAGGAAUAUUUUUUCUUCUUAUUUUUUUUCUUAUAGUCAUUGUUUUUUAGAUAAUAAAUAUUUCCCUAAGUUAUUUACUCACCCUUAGUUCCCAUGUAUUUGCAGCAUACUCCUGGGGGUAGUUCUUUACUUGCUGGAGAACAUGUGAAGGGGUUUUUGUGUGAUAAGUUUUUGAAGCUCUUUGUGCCUGAUAAUAUUUUUAUUUCACACUCACAGUUAGAGAAAAUGUUGCCUGAAUAUAGAAUUCUGGCAUAAAUUACUUUCUUUCAGUGCUUUGAAUUUGUAACUCCAUUGUUUUCUUGACUAUAAUGCUGUCCUUGAGAAUUUCAGUGUCAAUCUGAUUCUAACUUCUUCAUAAGUGAUUGAAUUUUCCUCUCUGGAACCUAAGGAACUUUUUAUUUUUACCUGAUGUUCUCAAUUUUCACUAUAAUGUCUCUGUGUGGGUUUCUCCUAAUUUAUUCAGUUUGUCAUUAUGCAUUCUUUCAAUCAGAGGUCUUAGUUUUUCUUUAACUGAGAAUUCUGAGUCAUUGUUUUUUCGAAAGUGUCUUGCCCCAUAUUUAUUUAUUUUUCAUUUAUUUUCCUCAUAAUAUUCAUAUGCUAACUUAUGUUGACCUUUCUACCACUAUUCUCAAUAUUUUUAUAACUUUCAUUCUUCCCAGUUCUGUCUCUUGUUGAUGUUUUGGGGGACCUCUUUUUAACCAGAUUGUGGUGGAUACCGCACCCAUGACAUACGGAGUUUCCCAAAAUAGGUGUCAAAUCAGAGCUGUAACUGCUGGUCUAUGCCACAGCCACAGCAACGUGGAAUUUGAGCUGUGUUUUCUCCCUGCACCACAGUUCACGGCAACGCCGGAUUCUUAACCCACUGAGCAAGGCCAGGGAUCGAACCGCGUCCUCACGGAUACUAGUCAGGUUCAUUACGCUGCGCCACAAUGGGCACUACCCAUUUCUACUUUUUUAUUGUUGACUUUUUUGUUACGACAGUGUACUCAGACUCAGGGGAUGUAUUAUUAUUGAUUUAAGGCAGUCAUAAAGUCCAGUUGACAAUGCGUAUCUAGAAGGAAUCAGAUGACUCUGGGGAUAAGCACCAUGCUUAAGGCUUAGGACACUCUGCCAUUUUCCUGGGACCAAAGAAAGCAAGGUAGUGACCUUUUGCCAACACUGGCAAAUGCAGUCUUGGCGUUCAGAUGUGAUAUUUUUUAGAAAAAUUAAGGAAUAUAGUAUUUUUGUGCUAUGUCAUUGAGCACUUCAUUCUCACUAUUAACAUAUUCGAGUGCAUUAUUGUAUUUGUCUAAUUCUGGCUAAUAGGAUAUGAGGAAAUGUACUGAAUAAUUUGGGAAGUAUUUUUCUUUACUACUGAUGAUAAUACUAACAAUUGCUAGGACUAUUACCACUAUUACUGAUGAUUCGUGUUUUAAAGAAAUGCAAAGGAAAAACUCUUAGCCCUAGGGCCCAGCUCUUUCCUUGUCUCCUCUCCCACUCUGGUCCCUCGUUUACCUCACUGGCACAUUCUCUUCACAAUUCAUUAGCCCCUGUUACCAGAUGAUGUCUAGAUUCCACCCAGAAGAACCCCUUAGAUCUAAAUACUGCCAUUAGCUUGAUGUCAAGUUUCACCAUCGCCUAGUGAUUCCCGUUGAGAAAAGCCACCAUAGUGCUUUGGAUCACCUGAAUGAUUUGUCAAUAUUUUGGGUGUAUUGACCCAGCUACUAUCUUGACAUUGCUGAUUUUUUUGUGUGUGUUAAAUCCCCUCUUUGUCAUCUCGUUAUUGUCAUCUUAGGUAUUCCAAAGUUGAGACUGUGUACUCCUGGGAAUAGAAUUAUGAACUAGAAAUAGUGCCUGUCUUCCAGGAGGUAAUAGUCUGGGGUAGAGAAAGACAAGUAAACAGACAAUUACAAUACAAUCUCCAUUAUACAGUGAUAUUAAAAUACUACAGAGGUAAGGAUAUUAAGAGAUUUCUUUGCCUAGAGAAGUUAGGAAUUAACUAAUAGAAAUGUUGAACUAUGAACUGAGCCUUGAAAAUUCACAUUCAUUCCAGGAGAAAAAAAUAUGAUGUACAAAUGCAGAAAUGGGAUCGUGAAAGAGCAUGGUGUCAUUGGAGAACUUGACGAUCAGCUGCAUGCUUUCUGAGCACUUGUGUUAUGGGAAUAACAGUGUGAGAUACUGAGAAUUUGAAAGUAUAGAUGCACCCAAUCAACCAUGUUAUUUAUUUUCUGCUGCCUGUAAAAAAUGGGCUUCAUCCUUGGGGGAAAUGGAGAUAGGUAGACUGGUACUGCAUUUCUUGGAACUGACCUUUUUUUUCUUUCUUUCUUAGAAUAGGUAAACUGAUAUUUUAUAGUUUGAGGGUCUGGAACCUGAUUCCAUGAGUCAUUCAGUGCUGCUUGAUACCAUUAUUCUCAAACUGUGAAGGAAGCAACCGAGAAAAAAUAUUGUAUCUUUUACGCAGGGGGAAGAGAGAACACCUAAAACCAAUGAUAAAACAAUUCUUGGUAGAGAAGAAAGGAGAGGAACAAACAAAUAAUGUUGCAGGUUUUUGGGGAGAGAUAGGGAAUGGAAACUCAUUUGGAUGUAACACCUUAAAGUAAGACAUGUUCAAGUGGUAGAAACUAGCCAUUAAGUUGGUUGUUCCCAACUUCAUGAAGUCUCAACAAAGAUCAGAUGAAGGGGGAAAAAGUGGGGACCCAACUGUGAGGGGAAGUGAUUCAUUGGCAUUGUGUAACAGAAUCAACAGUGACAUCAAGAGUGUCCACUGCACUCUUAAGACUCCACAUGAUCUGCCAUUUUCCUGGACCAAAUGAUGCAAGGAAGAGAGGAGCCAGUCAGGCAGUCAAUGCCCUUCUUGCCAACAGUGGCAAAUAAAGUCUUGGAGCCCAGGUUAGAUGUGAUUGAUUUCAGAAAAUGAAGAAAUGUCUUUCUUUUUUUUCGUAGCUUGUGCCUCACUGAGCACUUUGUCCCUAUUAUCAACAUAUCUGAGAGCAUUAUUUAAUUUCACUUUAAUUUAUUCUUCUUUACAAAGUUGUGGGCACCUUGACGAUAGGCUUUGAAUCUUAGUUGCAUUUCUUACUUCAGCAGCUCCCAUCAUGCUGCACUUAAAACAGGUUACUAAUAGCUGUGUGCUGAUUGAACUCAUGAAAUAAGUUUUAGGAAUUCAGAGAGGUUGAUAGCACUGUCUCCUGUAGAUCUUACCAGACUAAAUGUGUAACUUGCAUAUACACUUUUCACAGGACUAAAGAUCUUUGGGCUUUGGAUUCACUGUGAUUUAGUCCUUCCUAAGAUGCAGUAACGCACACUUAAUUGUAAUGACAAUUUUCUUUAGUUUCUCUGACACCAAGGUUACUGUCAACAUAGAGAAUGAAAGACAUGGCAUGACCUUAUUAAGAACGUUAAUGUCAUAAACAAUACACAGGGGAGGAUUGCAUUUUUUUUUUUACUGAAGCCCCGUCUUUAUAUAUAUGUAUACUUGUUAAGGACUCACAUUUGUCUCUGUGUAAGUUUAAAGACUAUGACCCCUUGCCUAUUAAAAAGGUAUUUUUCUCCUUUGAUUUAAUAUUUCAUCUCCUAAUAUUACAUCUAAAUAUGGCAGGGGGGUUUGGUUCACAUUUUUCACGUGUAUAGGCCGACAACAUUUUACUAUGGAAUGUCACAUGAAAGGUGCACAUCAUCCAUUAAUCAUGUAACCUCCAAUUAUCAUCCCUGGGUAGCAAUUAUAUUUUAGUUUUCCGAAUGCUUUUUAAGAAUUGGCACAAUGUCUUUGGCAAGAUGAAACUGUUAGGUAGAAAACAAAACAAAAGUGCAAAUGGGCUGCUUUUAGAGUAUGGAAUUCAAAGUCACUUGAUUAGGAUUUAAGAAGUCGUGGUCCUUUUUGCUAGCUGAUUGACUGGACACAUUAUUUGUUUCUUCUUUUGUCACAUGGACAUGAUAACUGUGCUCAUCUUACUGGAUUAUUAUCAGGUUCAAAUGAAAUCAUAUGUGUGAAGGCACCUAUUGCUAUUUAAAAAAAUCUAUCUGCCUCUCUUCUCAUUAUUGGAAGUAUACUGUUUUAAGUAAUAAUUCAAAGUGUGGAGGGGGGGCAGGGUCAAUAAAGGCA